Long non-coding RNA from Panthera uncia (snow leopard), 2405 nucleotides. RefSeq lists it as uncharacterized. The record is from RefSeq and is a predicted model, not a curated record. NCBI's taxonomy places the organism in Eukaryota, Metazoa, Chordata, Mammalia, Carnivora, Felidae. The transcript is spliced from 3 exons.
UUCUUCCUUCCUGAUGGGCUCUUUGGUCAGUACACCUUUAAGCCUAUUUUUUGGGGGGGAAGUAGGAGAGGCACAUCCUAUUUAGGUUCUGGUCCAGGUGUUCCUGGGAAGCACGUCCUACUUACGUUCUGGCCCAGGUGUUCCUGGGAAGCACGUCCUACUUAUGUUCUGGCCCGGGUGUUCCUGGGAAGCACGUCCCACAUAAGUUCUAGUCCCACCGCGUCUCUGCACUGCGUUGGGCUUCCAGUUGGAGUUAUUCCCAAAGCUUCCUGGAGGAGUGGCCUGGAUCUGCCCCCUGAUGACGAGGCUCAGAGCCCCACUGGCUGUGACUUUGGGACUCUUUCUUCUGGACACGCGUGUUCGUCAGCCUUCAGCAUGUGGGGAGGUGCUGGGCUGAACGUCCCUUCUCAUGCCCUGUGUCUGGUGAUUCGUGAGUACAGAUAUCGUUUGACAAGCCCCACAGGUGAGACUCUGUGGGCCUCGGGUCGUUCUGAGAGGCCAGGCCCCUCCCAAGAUUCAGAGCUUGGCAUUGGGGAUGGGCAGGGUUGCUGUGGGGAUGGCCCUGUGCCCCGCUUGCUGAACGCCCGAGGGCUUCACCCUGUGUGAUGACAUCUGUGACGUUUUGGGGCUUUGGCCUGCACACUUGCCUUGCCAGUCACAUGGAUUGAGCACUGUUUCGGUUUGUGUGUCGGCUCUCAUGAGCAUCUUUUACUUUUCCUGUUUUCAUAAGCUGCUUUUAAAAUAAAAACUAGGGGUAGGGUUUUUAGGCAGCUCCCCCACCCUGGUACCACGUGGACUUAAUGCUAUCUCAAAGUUGUGGCUUCAAUUAUAUACAAUGACUAUUUAAAAGUAACAUGAAACAAGGUACAGAUGGGCUUUGUGCUAGAUUAAGUGAGUGUGACCAGGCUUCAAAACAAUUCUUGUAUUCCAACAUAGUGGAUGUUAAGAGCUGGUGAGAUUUAGUAACAUAAAGCAGUCUUUAAGGCACUCCUUAAGCAAGGGCAUGAUUAAAUUUAAGUCGUUAAAAUACACACCUUUAAAAUUCAGGAAAUAGCCUACCAGCUUUCCAGGACUGAAACUUUGUUACUAAUGUGCGUUGUACUGUCCCUCCACGGCCACAAGUUACUGCGGUGGUGUGAUACCAUGUCAGGAAAUUCGGUAAAAAUAAGGUUUUGCGGGUGGAUUGCGAGUUCAGUUCGCUUUUUAGCACAGGUGACUCUAGGCCUCCUUUGAUGGCCACGCUUUCCCCGUGGACCACAGCAGGACGCAGUCACACGAGCACUCGCCCUUGGGGCUGUUUUGCUGUUGAUAUCAGCGUGCAGACUUUGAGACGUUUUUCUCUCACUUGUACACAAAUAUGAAAAGUAGAAUUUGCUUUUCUUUUUUCAUAUGUAGAUGUGAGCAGUUAUUAUUUAGAUCCCCGAUGAGGAAGGGAUUUAUGACAGUUGGUAAUUUAGAAUUCUUCCCUUGUAUUAGGAAGAUCUGGCCCUGGACCCAGGCAGGAAGUAGCCUUGACUUUGUUUGAUGACUUUGUUUAGUGUUUGGCACAAAUAGGAUUCUGGGUGAGGUCUGCCCUUGAUGGAAAGCGUGUGAGCGAAAGGGGCGCUCUGACGGUGUUCUGUUCUGCGUCCCGUGCUUCGAGAGGGCAAGGCCUUGGGAAAGGAAUGUGCAGGGCGGAUUGCGCGGGUGGGCGCGUUCCGUGGCCGUUGGGCAGGUGACCGGCCGCUGGUUGGGAGUGCUGUCACCGGAGACGGGUGGCUCACAAGAUUUGCUGCUACUGGUUGAGGUCAUGCACAAAGUCCUGGUGUAGUGCUUGGAAGCUAGCAAACUUGUGCUCAGUCCCCUGUUCCUUACCGCUGGGCUAAGACAUGUCACACUGGCGAUCACCUUCUCGUCUUGUUGCUAUGAAAGCAAGAACCUGGGAAGCAUCCGGACACCCAGCGGAGGAUGAUGAAAUGCCAUGGAGGACCUGUCCCAGGCACGGGCUGGAGCGUCUCUGUUUCUGAGCUGAUCUUUAGGUGUGGACUACAGGUGUGGGGUUUGCUGGAGUCCAGGUUCACAUCUGCCCACCACUGUCCAGAUGCUCCUAUGUAAGGAACGCUCCUGCCCCUGAUCUUUGUGGUACACCCCAGCUUCCUCCUUCUAUGCCUGGCUUCAGGGCCCCUGAUCUCCAAUUACUGCUUGUUCAUUAAGCUGGUGAUCUGUUAUGCGUGCUGAUGGCCACUAAGAGGCCAGUCUGACUCCUUAGCAGUGAACUGUCCCAGUCUUACUGUUUCUGGGAACCAUGUCCACUGUGAAGGAGAUCUGCAGGGAAGCCUGGAUUCCUGUUCUGUCACCUCAAGACUGGUAGCUCUUAACACAGUGAUGGCAUCCAGUUGGUACAUAAUAAAUGGCACUUGAACUAA